GUGGUCAAGUGAAUAAGGGCUGACGGUGGAUACCUAGGCACACAGAGGCGAAGAAGGACGUGGUUACCUACGAAAAGCUCCGGGGAGCUGGAAGCGAGCAUUGAGCCGGAGAACUCCGAAUGGGGCAACCCAAAAACGGCUGGCCGAAUAUAUAAGCCAGUACGAGCAAACCCAGCCAACUGAAACAUCUUAGUAGCUGGAGGAAGAGAAAGCAAAAGCGAUUUCCUAUGUAGCGGUGAGCGAAAGGGAAACAGCCUAAACCAUUUGUAAAAACAGAUGGGGUAGUGGGACAACCAUAAGUGACUGAGGAAGUUAGACGAAGCAGCGAGAAACUGCACCAGAGAAGGUGAAAGUCCUGUAGUCAAAAACAGAAUCAGUGACGGUUGUAUCCCGAGUAGCAUGGGGCUCGAGAAAUCCCGUGUGAAUCAGCGAGGACCACCUCGUAAGGCUAAAUACUCCUGUGUGACCGAUAGUGAACCAGUACCGCGAGGGAAAGGUGAAAAGAACCCCGGAAGGGGAGUGAAAUAGAACAUGAAACCGUCAGCUUACAAGCAAUGGGAGCUCGAUUAAACGAGUGACCGUGUGCCUGUUGAAGCAUGAGCCGGCGAGUUAUAGGCAGUGGCAGGUUAAAACCAGAAAGGUUGAAGCCAAAGCGAAAGCGAGUCUGAACAGGGCGAGUUUGUCACAGUUUAUAGACCCGAACCCUGGUGAUCUAACCAUGUCCAGGAUGAAGCUUGGGUAACACCAAGUGGAGGUCCGAACCGACUUCUGUUGAAAAAGGAGCGGAUGAGGUGUGGUUAGGGGUGAAAUGCCAAUCGAACCAGGAGCUAGCUGGUUCUCCCCGAAAUGUGUUGAGGCGCAGCGGUGAGAGUAAAAGUCUGGGGGUAAAGCACUGUUUCGGUGCGGGCUGCGAGAGCGGUACCAAAUCGAGACAAACUCUGAAUACCAGAUGGUAAUCUCACCAGUGAGACGGUGGGGGAUAAGCUUCAUCGUCGAAAGGGAAACAGCCCAGACCACCAGCUAAGGUCCCCAAAUUACCACUAAGUGAGAAAGGAAGUUGGAGUCCAUAGACAACCAGGAGGUUGGCUUAGAAGCAGCCACCCUUGAAAGAGUGCGUAAUAGCUCACUGGUCAAGGACUCUGGCACCGAAAAUGAACGGGGCUAAGUGGUAUACCGAAGCUGUGGAAUACUUUUAGUAUUGGUAGGGGAGCGUUCCGUAGUAGUAAGAAGCAUUAGCGAGAGCAGGUGUGGACGAAACGGAAGUGAGAAUGUCGGCUUGAGUAGCGAAAAUAUGUGUGAGAAUCACAUACCCCGAAACCCUAAGGGUUCCUCCGGACGGCUCGUCCGCGGAGGGUGAGUCAGGACCUAAGGCGAGGUCGAAAGGCGUAGUCGAUGGACAACGGGUGAAAAUUCCCGUACCGUCAUUGGUUGGUGCAGAGGGACGGAGAAGGCGUGAGCUAGCCGGAAGAUGGUUACCGGUGUAAGCGUUCGAGGUGUUGCGGAGCGGAGAAAACGUUCCAAGCUGAGGCGUGAGUCCGACUACCUACGGGUAGGAAGUAGUAUCUGUCAGGCUUCCAAGAAAAGCUCUAAACACCAUAAAUCAAUGAUGCCUGUACCCGAAACCGACACAGGUAGGGUGGUUGAGAAUACUCAGGGGCGCGAGAUAACUCUCUCUAAGGAACUCGGCAAAAUGGCCCCGUAACUUCGGGAGAAGGGGUGCCAGUGAAAGCUGGCCACAGUGAAGAGUCCCAGGCGACUGUUUACCAAAAACACAGGUCUCCGCAAAGUCGAAAGACGCAGUAUGGGGGCUGACGCCUGCCCAGUGCCGGAAGGUUAAAGAAGUUGGUCAGCGAAAGUGAAGCUAGCGACUGAAGCCCCGGUGAACGGCGGCCGUAACUAUAACGGUCCUAAGGUAGCGAAAUUCCUUGUCGGGUAAGUUCCGACCCGCACGAAAGGCGUAACGAUCUGGGAGCUGUCUCGGAGAGAGACUCGGCGAAAUAGAAAUGUCUGUGAAGAUACGGACUACCUGCACUUGGACAGAAAGACCCUAUGAAGCUUUACUGUAGCCUGGAAUUGGGUUCGGGCUUCUCUUGCGCAGGAUAGGUGGGAGGCGAUGAAUAGUUCCUUGUGGGGAACUAGGAGCCAUCGGUGAGAUACCACUCUAGAGAGGCUAGAAUUCUAACUUGGAGCUAUAUCAAGCCCAAAGACAGUUUCAGGGGGGCAGUUUGACUGGGGCGGUCGCCUCCUAAAAGGUAACGGAGGCGCGCAAAGGUUCCCUCAGGCUGGUUGGAAAUCAGCCGGAGAGUGUAAAGGCACAAGGGAGCUUGACUGCGAGAGAGACAACUCAAGCAGGUAGGAAACUAGGCCUUAGUGAUCCGACGGUACUGCGUGGAAAGGCCGUCGCUCAACGGAUAAAAGUUACUCUAGGGAUAACAGGCUGAUCUCCCCCAAGAGUUCACAUCGACGGGGAGGUUUGGCACCUCGAUGUCGGCUCAUCGCAACCUGGGGCGGAAGUACGUCCCAAGGGUUGGGCUGUUCGCCCAUUAAAGCGGUACGUGAGCUGGGUUCAGAACGUCGUGAGACAGUUCGGUCCAUAUCCGGUGUAGGCGCAAGAGCAUUGAGAGGAGUUCUCCCUAGUACGAGAGGACCGGGAGGAACGCACCGCUGGUGUACCUGUUAUCGUGCCAACGGUAGACGCAGGGUAGCCAAGUGCGGAGCGGAUAACCGCUGAAAGCAUCUAAGUGGGAAGCCCACCUCAAGAUGAGUGCUCUCACUACUUUAAGUAGGUAAGGUCACGGGAAGACUACCCGUUUAUAGGUGUUCGGUGGAAAUGCAGUAAUGUAUGCAGCCUAGACACACUAACAGACCGAGGACUUGACCUC
RNAcentral lists this ribosomal RNA (2882 nucleotides) under Okeania sp. SIO3C4. Its description in RNAcentral is "23S ribosomal RNA". It matches the Rfam family "Bacterial large subunit ribosomal RNA". Lineage: Bacteria; Bacillati; Cyanobacteriota; Cyanophyceae; Oscillatoriales; Microcoleaceae. The record is from RNAcentral.